GACGAACGCUGGCGGCGUGCCUAAUACAUGCAAGUAGAACGCAGUUGCGAACGGGUGAGUAACGCGUAGGUAACUGCCUCAUAGCGGGGGAUAACUAUUGGAAACGAUAGCUAAUACCGCAUACUUUGAGAUGGACCUGCGGUGUAUUAGCUAGUUGGUGAGGUAAAGGGUCACCAAGGCGAAGAUACAUAGCCGACCUGGGAGGGGGGUCGGCCAAACUGGGACUGGGAAACGGCCCAGGCUCCUACGGGAAGGAGGAGGAGGGAAUCUUCGGCAAUGGACGGAAGUCUGACCGAACAACGCCGCGUUGGUGGAGAAGGUUUUCGGAUCGUAAAGCUCUGUUGUUUGAGAAGCGUUAACUACCCAGAAAGGGACGGCUAACUACGUGCCAGCCGCCGCGGUAAUUC
This 407-nucleotide ribosomal RNA is filed under the name uncultured bacterium. RNAcentral's name for it is "partial 16S ribosomal RNA". It matches the Rfam family "Bacterial small subunit ribosomal RNA", at positions 28 to 526 of the family's 1533-position model. The record is from RNAcentral.